CACACUGCAAAAAGACCAACUUCUACAGAGGUUAAGUCCUUCUCUUGCAGCAAAGAGCUACUCUGCAGACCUUCAAUUCCCUGUGAUGUCCAAUCUAAAUAUGUCACAGGAGAAUCAGUUGAAAUUCAAGCCACAAGGAAGCAAGGCCAGGCCAAAAGAUUGCAGCAAGCCAGUGGUCCAGCUCAGGACUGUGGCACAGGAGAGAGGCAUUUCCUCUGUCUCCCAUUGACUCGAAUAUUCUGGAAGCAGCUCUUCUGAGAAAAUAUGUAUUUGUUACUGCAGAACGCAACAGUUUCCUACCAGAUGAACUCACCUGGAAGACUGGAGGGUUUGAGUACAAAACUAUUAAAAGCUCUGCAACACAGAGCAAGAAAAAGGAGUUAUCUCAAUGAGUGCCCUGAGGCCAACAACUGCUGCCUUGGUGAAAGAAACCCACACUACCAUAGUAAGAGCUUUCCUCUAGAAUCAAAAUACAUCUCGUAAAAGCACCUUACACGUGUGGACAAACCUAUUAAAUAAUUAGUAAAUAAGAAAUAGAGUAUUUAAAAUGGAUGUCCCGAGAAUGUAGCAAAAUACUGAGAACAAGUUGAAAUAAUAAUCUACAUUAAUAAGGCUGAAGAUUCUCUAUGAAGAAAUCUUGUGUAUAAUAUAUAAGAAAUAGAAAAUUAGAGCUAUUAUUUCUAGAAUGUUGCAUGCAAAACAUAUACAUAAAUGUAUGUACAAACACACACAGGCACAUAUGAUCCUGAACCCUUUCACACCCUAAGGCACUUUAAUUUUGCCUCCACACUUUAGUUAUGCUUCUUUCUGAAAGGUAAAGACUUAAAAUGGUUGCCUCCUAUUCCAUUAUCCUUUCUCAGCCUCUAUUUUGACACAGGUCCUUCUGUUGCAUGGUGGCUACGACAAUUAGUCCAUGAAAAUAUUACACUAUAUAUAGCUACUUGCAUUAUAACACCUUUCAAUAAUUACCUACAAUUUUCA
This is a long non-coding RNA of Neopelma chrysocephalum (saffron-crested tyrant-manakin), 981 nucleotides long. RefSeq lists it as uncharacterized. Lineage: Eukaryota; Metazoa; Chordata; Aves; Passeriformes; Pipridae. The transcript has 3 exons. The record is from RefSeq and is a predicted model, not a curated record.